Molecule: ribosomal RNA, 448 nt
Filed under: uncultured bacterium
Lineage: Bacteria
Description: bacterial SSU rRNA
Rfam family: Bacterial small subunit ribosomal RNA
Source: RNAcentral
GUCCAGACUCCUACGGGAGGCAGCAGUGGGGAAUAUUGCACAAUGGGGGAAACCCUGAUGCAGCGACGCCGCGUGAGCGAUGAAGUAUUUCGGUAUGUAAAGCUCUAUCAGCAGGGAAGAAAAUGACGGUACCUGACUAAGAAGCCCCGGCUAACUACGUGCCAGCAGCCGCGGUAAUACGUAGGGGGCAAGCGUUAUCCGGAUUUACUGGGUGUAAAGGGAGCGUAGACGGCUGUGCAAGCCAGAUGUGAAAGCCCGGGGCUCAACCCCGGGACUGCAUUUGGAACUGUGUGGCUGGAGUGUCGGAGAGGCAGGCGGAAUUCCUAGUGUAGCGGUGAAAUGCGUAGAUAUCAGGAGGAACACCGGUGGCGAAGGCAGCCUGCUGGACUGUAACUGACACUGAGGCUCGAAAGCGUGGGGAGCAAACAGGAUUAGAUACCCGCGUACG